This 3592-nucleotide long non-coding RNA is filed under the name Homo sapiens (human). RNAcentral describes it as "non-protein coding lnc-WDR5-4:4". Lineage: Eukaryota; Metazoa; Chordata; Mammalia; Primates; Hominidae. The record is from RNAcentral.
GGACUUCCGGACGCGGCCCUGCCCCGGGAACUGCGGGUGUUCAGGACCCUGUGGUGCGCGGGACGCCGCCCGCGCAUGCGCCGCGCCGGCUCAGCCCCGUUUUCGCAAGCUCUGCGUGGUCUUGGGUGGCGAGUUCGAGCCUUAGAACGGCCGAGUGCCCUGGAACCGGUUUCGGCUCUGGCGUCCUCGCGUGUCCUCCGGCUCCAGGUUACAACGUCAGUAUUGGCGCCUUGGCGCGGUCCCGUCCUGCUCUCGUCCUCCGUUCCGUGGACCCCGGGGCUGUUCUGGCGCCUCGCAGGCCGGGCCCCUCCCAUCGACUCGAUGGGCAGGGCUCUGCGAGGCUCGGGGACCGGGGACGCGCGGCCUUCCUGACAAGGAGCCCGAGGGUCUGCACAGCCUGGGGCACCACCCGGCCUGGUCGGAGGUCUGCACAUCACCCAGGAGGCUUACCAGUGGUAACCCAAGAAGAGGGAAGAUGGCAAGAGGGUCUUUGCAGGGUUGGGAGGGCAAGGAUGGAAGGACCUGGGAGGCCACAGCACCCUCUCGGACUUGGCGCAGAACCCGUGGAAACAGCCUGCGAUGCACGGAUGGAGGUGGCUUUGCCCUGUGUCUGCUGGUGCCUCUGGAACUCCGGCUCUGACAGACGCUGCGUCUCCUGCUGACUGCUGCAUCCCAAGAUGAGCCCAGCGCUUGCACACAGGGCGUCCCAAAGUGUUUGUUGAACAAAGGCAUGAUCAGUGUUGGUAUUGCCCUGAGACUCAUGCCCUCAGCCCCGAUUCGGGCACAUGGCUCAUGUCAACCGCUGGAAGUCCCUCUGGGGCCCACAAAUGUCUCUAGACCACAGGAAGAGUCGGCCUGGCUCCAUGUGCCUGGCGCCUGGGGCAGAAAGGUGGACGGGGCAAUCAGAGUGGUCACCAUCGGGGAGUACACUUUGCACUCCACUCGAGUCUCCAGGGAUAUAACUCACUGGAUCCUAAGUCUCACUUUCUGAGGGCCGUUCUUAGAGUCUCCUGUAUGAAAUCAGGCUACAUCCAGAGAAAGUUCCAGAAAUAAGAAAAGAUGAGAUCGCCUACUGACCCUCCCAUUUUUUGCACACGGACACUGAGGGAGGGGAGGAACUUGCUCAAGGGCACCACACAAUUUUUUUUUGAGAUGGAGUCUCAAAGAUGGAGAAUUCCUCCAACCAUGAGGAAUUUGAACGCUUAUCCCGAAUAGUGGAAAAUGAACGUCUCAUGGAGUUAGGGCCUGUCACCACCUGGGGAUCUACAGUCAGACAUGGCAUAGAGGAUGCCCUCCCAGAUCCCGCUCUGUCUCCCAGACUGGAGUGCAGUAGUGCCACCUUGGCUCACUGCAACCUCCGUCUUCCGGAUUCAAGCGAUUCUCUGGCCUUAGCCUCCUGAGUAGAUGGGAUUACAGGCGCACACCACCACACCCGGCUAAUUUUGUAUUUUUACUAGAGAUGGGGCUUCACCAUGUUGGCCAGGCUGGUCUUGAACUCCUGACCUCAAGUGAUCCACCUGCCUCAGUCUCCCAAAGUGCUGGGAUCACAGGCAUGAGCCAACAUACCCAGCCCACCCCAUGAGUUAUUGCUAGAGUGGUGGGGUAGGGACCCGGCCCCCAGCUCUCAGUGCUGGACAUGGGCAGGGUGGGCAUGGGUUCCCUUCCAGCCCUGGCAGAGCCCUGGACCAUGCGUGCUUUUCCCCUCAAGUGUCGAGGCAGGCAGGGCUGCUGCAUAGAAUACAAGAUGCCCCAUUGAGAUGGAAUCUCAGACAAAUGAGUCAUGUUUUACUGUAAGCAUAUCCCAAAUAUUUCAUGGGACACACUUAUACUAAAACUUAUUCAUUGUUUAUCUGAGCUUCAAAUGUAGUGGAGUGCCCUGUAUUUUUAUUUGCUAAAUUUGGCAGCCCUAGUAACGGGAGCUGGAAGGCUUUUGUUAUUUGCCCUCAAGCAGCAUUUCCUGGCAUUGGCUUCAGUGACCAGUUGUCUCUUGAAAUGUCCCAUGGACAGAAGGGAAGAAAACUGGGAAAUACUGUGUUAAAUAAACUUGCACAAUUCCUUUUUUUUUUUCUUUAAAGAAAAGCCUAGCCGGGCGUGGUGGCUCACACCUGUAAUCCCAGCACUUUGGGAGGCCAAGAAGGGCGGCUCACAAGGUCAGGAGUUUGAGACUAUCCUGGCCAAUGUGUUGAAACCCCAUCUCUACUAAAAAUAAAAAAAUUAGCUGGGUGUGGUGUCGGGUGCCUGUAAUCCCAGCUACUUGGGAGGCUGAGGCAGGAGAAUUGCUUGAACCCAGGCGGGAGGUUGCAGUGAGCUGAGAUCACGCCGCUGCACUCCAGCCUGGGCAACAGAGUGAGACUCCGUCUCAAAAAAAAAGAAAAGAAAAGAAAAGAAAAAAGCCUAUUAGUUGGCAGGAGGGCUUAUGAAAAUGAGGCCUGGGGGAUGUGUCAUUUACUCAACUGUCUUGGCUAAUGGGAUCUCUAGGCUGGUGAGGUUGCGUUCUGUGUUUUUUUUUUUUUUUUUUUUUUUUUUUGAGACGGUGUCUCGCUCUGUUGCUGAGGGUGGAGUGCAGUGGUGCGAUCUCGGCUCGCUGCAACCUCUGCCUCCCAGGUUCAAGCAAUUCUCAUGCCUCAGCCUCCAGAGUAGCUGGGAUUACAGGCAUGUGCCACCAUGCCCAGCUACUUUUUUGUGUUUUUUCUAGAGACAGGAUUUCACCAUGUUGGCCAGGUUGGUCUCGAACUCCUGACCUCGAGUGAUCCGCCCACCUUGGCCUCCCAGAGUGCUGGGAUUAUAGGCGUGAGGCACCGCUCCUGGCUGUGUUCUAUGUUCUGUAAAGGAAAACAGUGCAGGUAGGAGAAAAGAGGGGCCUGGGAAGGGAAGAAAACAGCAGGGAAGAGGAGGGCUGAAGACAGAGCAGGAGGAAGGCUGAGUGGCUUUAGCUCUUUGGCCUAACCCAGACCAGUCAGAGUUCACUCUGGGCACCUCCCAGUGGCAGCCACUUGAUUUGCAGGCAAAGAGCUUGGAGACCGGCUCUGCAAAUUCAGCCUUAUCCAUGUCCACAUGGGUAUGGCCCCGGAAAGCACUCAACAAAUAUGCACUAAAUGGAUGACUUCAGGCAGUGAUCCAGAUUAUUCAGAGCAGAAAGCUGCUUGGGCUCUGAUUACAGAAAAGUACUCCCCGCUCAUCCGGAUGCAGGGAUACCUUCCAAGACCCCCUGUGGAGGCCUGAAACUGUGGAUUGUACCGAACUGUAGAAAUACAGUACUGUUUUUUUUUCCUAUACAUACAUACCUAUGAUAAAGCUAGGCACAGUAAGAGAUUAACAGUAAUUACUAAUGAUAAACAGAACGAUUGCCACAAUAUACUGCUGUAAUAAAGUUAGUGUGUGUGAUCUCUCUUUCACAAUAUCCUAGUGUUCCAUGCUCACCUAGUUUCCGGCCACUAUUGACCGUGGGUACCUGAAAUUGCAGAAAGCAGAAACUCAGAUAAGCAGGGACUACUGUACUCUUUUUUUUUUUGAGACAGAGUCUCGCUCUCACCCAGGCUGGAGUGCAGUGGUGUGAUCUCGGCUCGCUGCAACCUCUGCCUCCCAGGUUCAA